This 84-nucleotide transfer RNA is filed under the name Caudoviricetes sp. RNAcentral's name for it is "tRNA-Tyr". It matches the Rfam family "tRNA". Rfam says of the family: Transfer RNA (tRNA) molecules are approximately 80 nucleotides in length. Their secondary structure includes four short double-helical elements and three loops (D, anti-codon, and T loops). The record is from RNAcentral. Lineage: Duplodnaviria; Heunggongvirae; Uroviricota; Caudoviricetes.
GCGGAUGUAUGUUAAGUGGCAUAAACUCUUGGACGUCCAUAAAACGAGAUUUUGGAACGCAGGUUCGAUUCCUGCCGUCCGCCA